Molecule: long non-coding RNA, 1441 nt
Filed under: Homo sapiens (human)
Lineage: Eukaryota; Metazoa; Chordata; Mammalia; Primates; Hominidae
Description: HSALNT0254478
Source: RNAcentral
AUUUAUUUUUAUCUUUCCUAGGAAGGUUUUACACACUUUUAUAAAAAUUAAUGUUUAGAGGACUGACAUAGGAAAGCAGCUUCCAGUUAAAAAUAGUGUGCCCGGGCUCGGGUGCUCAAGGUCAAAUCCAGAGUCCACUACUUUUUUUUUUUUUUUUUGAGACAGAGUCUCACUGUCACCCAGGCUAGAGUGCAAUGGCACCAUCUCGGCUCACUGAAACAUCAGCUAUUCUCAUGCCACAGCCUCCUGAAUAGCUGGGCCUAGAGGCGUGCACCACGACGCCCAGAUUUUUUUUUUUUUUUUUUUUUGAGACAGAGUUUCACUCUUGUUGCCCAGAGCUGGAGUGUAAUGGUACUGUCCCAGCUCACAGCAACCUCCACCUCCCGGGUUCAAGCGAUUCUCCUGCCUCAGCCUCCGAGUAGCUGGGAUUACGGGCAUGCACCACCAUGCCGGCUAAUUUUGUAUGUUUAGUAGAGAUGCGGUUUCUCCAUGUUGGUCAGGCUGGUCUCGAACUCCUGACCUCAGGUGAUCCGCCCAUCUCGGCCUCCCUAAUUUUUGUAUUUUUUGGUAGACAUGGGGCUUCACCAUGUUGGCCAGGCUGGUCUCGAACUCCUGACCUCAAGUGAUCCACCCACCUCAGCCUCUCAAAGUGCUGGGAUCACAGGUGUGAGCCACUGUGCCCAGCCCAGAUUCUACUCCUUUCUAAUUGUGUGACCUUGAGCAAAUUAUUUCCGUUUUGUCUUCUGUAAAAUGGAAUGUGAAUAGUGAUUAUCUCAUGGGGUCGUGAGGGCUAAAUGAAGAACCACAUGGAAGUACUUGGCUGGUGCUUGGUAUACAGUAAGCAUCCAAUACAUGUUCAUGACGAUAAUGCACAUCAGCACUCCUGGUCUUGAUUUUGCUAGGGACAUCUCACAGGCGGGACUUUUCCCAGGCCACCAAAGGUCAUUCCACCCUCUAUGUCCCAAAGUCUACUAUACUAUGUCUCUACCAUCUAGGUACCCACAGUCUAUCCUGACUCAUCAAUGAGGUUCCGUAUCCUUCACAAUUUUGGGUGCUAUUUGAUUUGUAUUCAUUGUCAAAAUGAUUAUGGCAAUACAAAAUGAAACGGCAGAAAACACAAAAUCACACAUAAUUGGAACACCCCAAUCAUUGCGUAAAUGAUUCAUUUCUUCACGUCUCUGUCCAGCCUUUGUCCUUUUGUGAAUGGAUCAAAUUACUAGUACUAUUUUGAAGCCCUUGUAUUUUUUAAACUUUACCUCCAAAGCGCUUUCCGUCUUAGCAUAUACUCUGGAUCAGCACAGUACUGCAGAAGACAAACGGAUCUAGCUAAGUGGCCAAUGUGAAACACUGAAACAGAAUGCUGAAAUAAAGGCCAGGAGCAGUGGUUCACACCUGUAAUCCCAGCACGGCGGCUCGCACCCAUAAUCCCAGCAGGGUGGCU